AACGAACGCUGGCGGCAUGCCUAACACAUGCAAGUCGAACGAACCCUUCGGGGUUAGUGGCGCACGGGUGCGUAACACGUGGGAAUCUGCCCUUUGCUUCGGAAUAACAGUUAGAAAUGACUGCUAAUACCGGAUAAUGUCUUCGGACCAAAGAUUUAUCGGCAAAGGAUGAGCCCGCGUAGGAUUAGCUUGUUGGUGAGGUAAAGGCUCACCAAGGCGACGAUCCUUAGCUGGUCUGAGAGGAUGAUCAGCCACACUGGGACUGAGACACGGCCCAGACUCCUACGGGAGGCAGCAGUGGGGAAUAUUGGACAAUGGGCGAAAGCCUGAUCCAGCAAUGCCGCGUGAGUGAUGAAGGCCUUAGGGUUGUAAAGCUCUUUUACCAGGGAUGAUAAUGGCAGUACCUGGAGAAUAAGCUCCGGCUAACUCCGUG
This 433-nucleotide ribosomal RNA is filed under the name uncultured bacterium. Its description in RNAcentral is "bacterial SSU rRNA". It matches the Rfam family "Bacterial small subunit ribosomal RNA", at positions 29 to 507 of the family's 1533-position model. The record is from RNAcentral.